GUGGGGAAUAUUGGACAAUGGGCGAAAGCCUGAUCCAGCCAUGCCGCGUGUGUGAAGAAGGUCUUCGGAUUGUAAAGCACUUUAAGUUGGGAGGAAGGGCAGUAAGUUAAUACCUUGCUGUUUUGACGUUACCGACAGAAUAAGCACCGGCUAACUUCGUGCCAGCAGCCGCGGUAAUACGUAGGGUGCAAGCGUUAAUCGGAAUUACUGGGCGUAAAGCGCGCGUAGGUGGUUUUGUAAGUUGGAGGUGAAAUCCCCGGGCUCAACCUGGGAACUGCCUCCAAAACUGCAUGACUAGAGUACGGUAUAGGGUAGUGGAAUUUCCUGUGUAGCGGUGAAAUGCGUAGAUAUAGGAAGGAACACCGGUGGCGAAGGCGACCACCUGGCUCGGUACUGACGCUGAGGCGCGACAGCGUGGGGAGCAAACAGGAUUAGAUACCCUAGUAGUCC
RNAcentral lists this ribosomal RNA (450 nucleotides) under uncultured bacterium. Its description in RNAcentral is "partial 16S ribosomal RNA". It matches the Rfam family "Bacterial small subunit ribosomal RNA", at positions 354 to 796 of the family's 1533-position model. The record is from RNAcentral.